CGGGGUGUGGCGCAGCUGGUAGCGCGCGUGCUUUGGGAGCAUGAGGCCCGGGGUUCGAGUCCCCGCACUCCGACCA
Molecule: transfer RNA, 76 nt
Filed under: Oscillospiraceae bacterium
Lineage: Bacteria; Bacillati; Bacillota; Clostridia; Eubacteriales; Oscillospiraceae
Description: tRNA-Pro
Rfam family: tRNA
About the family: Transfer RNA (tRNA) molecules are approximately 80 nucleotides in length.
Source: RNAcentral